Peromyscus leucopus (white-footed mouse) is the source of this 480-nucleotide long non-coding RNA. RefSeq lists it as uncharacterized. The record is from RefSeq and is a predicted model, not a curated record. Lineage: Eukaryota; Metazoa; Chordata; Mammalia; Rodentia; Cricetidae. The transcript is spliced from 3 exons.
AAUACCAGUUUACUUGGAUUCACAAGAAUCACAGCAUGGUGAACUACACAUCAUAGCAUGCUUCCAGUGACCCUAACCGUCUCUAAUCCGGGUGCACCCUGUACGGAGCACUGAGUGCAAAGGCGGGGAAUGUACGUCUAAGCUGGGAGAGAAAACUCUCACCCGAGGCCUCCAUGACCCCUAUUUGCUCCUGCGUUGCUCUCUACUUCCCUUCAUGAUACAGCCAUUUCCACCAAAGCCUCAGACUGGGAGGUUCAAGGUUCAGAUUCUGGAGUCCUGACCCUUGACUGCUCCCUAGUUCUACUUACUACUGGUGACCUUGAACAGAUUUAAGCUCUGAAGAGGUGUUCUAGAAUCUUCUGUGUUCUGUAAGUCACAGGAAAGAGGAAAUGAGCCUGUUUCUUGCAGUCCUCAAGACAGAAAUGGCAAUUUUAGCUGUAAAUGACAGCUCCUUCACAGGGUUUAUUAGAAAGAAGAGCC